AUUUAUUUAAUUAUUUUUUUUUAUUUUAUAUUUAAUUUUUUAUAAAAAUAAUUUAUUUAUUUUUUGUUUUAGUAUUAUUUAAAAUUAAUUAUUAUUAUUAUAGUUUAUUAGUAUUGUGAAAGAAAUUAAUUUAAAUUUUUAAAAGAAUAUUUUUAGUACCUUUUGUAUCAGGGUUAAUUAAAAUAAAUAAUUUAUUUAUUGUUUUCUCAAAAUUUUCAGAGUUAAAUUUAUUAUUAAUAGUUAUUGUUUUAUAAAUAUUUUAAAAAUAGAUUUAGUUUUAAUAUUUAAUUCGUUGAAAAAUAUUUAGUUAUUUAAGAUUUAAAUUUAAUUUAUAAUUAUAAUAGUUAAUAUUAAUUUAUAUUAUUUAUAUUUUAAAAUUAAAUUAUUUUAGGGAUAAGCUUAAAAUUUAAAUAAAAUUUUGUUUUAGUUUAAUAAUUUAUAGGAAUAGAAAUUUUUAUUUUAAGUUUGUAAAAAUUUAUUAUUAUUUAUUAUUAAAAUUUAUUAUAUAAAUUUAUUUUUUAUAUUAAAUUUUUUAAAUUAAUUAUUAAUUUAUAGUAAUAAUGAUUAAAUUAGUAUAAUUUUUAUUUAUAAAUUAUGAAUUCGGCAAAUUUUAUUUUCAUCUGUUUAACAAAAACAUUGUAUUAAGUUUUAUUUAAUAUAGGAUCUGCUCAAUGAUUUUAAUUAAAUAGCUGCAGUAUUUUGACUGUGCAAAGGUAGCAUAAUAAUUAGUCUUUUAAUUGGGGACUUGAAUGAAAGAUUUGAUGAGAAAUAAACUUUAUUAUUUAUAAAAUUAAAAUUUUAUUUUUAAGUAAAAAAGCUUAAAUUUUUUAAAGGGACGAUAAGACCCUAUAAAACUUUAUAAUUAUAUUUUUUUAUUUUAUUUGUAAAUUUAUUAAAUUUUAAAUUUAUAAUUAUUUUAUUGGGGUGAUAAAAAAAUAUUAAUAACUUUUUUUAAAAUUUUACAUUAAUUAAUGAUUUUUUGAAUUAAAAUUUUUAAUUGAAGGAAAAAGUUACUUUAGGGAUAACAGCGUAAUUAAUUUUUUAAGUUCAAAUUUAAAAAUUAGUUUGCGACCUCGAUGUUGAAUUAAGAAUAUUUUUAGGUGCAAAAUUUUAAAAUUUAGGUCUGUUCGACCUUUAAAUUCUUACAUGAUUUGAGUUCAAACCGGUGUAAGCCAGGUUGGUUCCUAUCUUUUAAUAGUUAAUUUAUUUUAGUACGAAAGGAUUAAAUAAUUAAAUUAAAUUUUUUUUUUUGAAUCAAAUUAAAAAUAAU
RNAcentral lists this ribosomal RNA (1270 nucleotides) under Daktulosphaira vitifoliae (grape phylloxera). RNAcentral's name for it is "large subunit ribosomal RNA". Lineage: Eukaryota; Metazoa; Arthropoda; Insecta; Hemiptera; Phylloxeridae. The record is from RNAcentral.